UACGGAGGGUGCGAGCGUUGUCCGGAAUCAUUGGGCGUAAAGGGUGCGCAGGUGGCAUGGUAAGUUUGGUGUGAAAGCUUCGGGCUUAACCCGGAAAUGGCAUUGAAUACUACUGUGCUGGAGGAUUGGAGGGGGGACUGGAAUUCUUGGUGUAGCAGUGAAAUGCGUAGAUAUCAAGAGGAACACCAGUGGCGAAGGCGAGUCCCUGGACAAUUCCUGACACUGAGGCACGAAAGCCAAGGGAGCAAACGGG
This 253-nucleotide ribosomal RNA is filed under the name uncultured bacterium. Its description in RNAcentral is "partial 16S ribosomal RNA". It matches the Rfam family "Bacterial small subunit ribosomal RNA", at positions 524 to 776 of the family's 1533-position model. The record is from RNAcentral.